UGAGGAAUAUUGGUCAAUGGGCGCAAGCCUGAACCAGCCAUGUCGCGUGCAGGACGACUGCCCUAUGGGUUGUAAACUGCUUUUGUAUGGGAAGAAACGACGGCACGAGUGCUGUUUUGCCGGUACCAUACGAAUAAGGAUCGGCUAACUCCGUGCCAGCAGCCGCGGUAAUACGGAGGAUCCGAGCGUUAUCCGGAUUUAUUGGGUUUAAAGGGUGCGUAGGCGGGAUAUUAAGUCAGUGGUGAAAGUUUGACGCUCAACGUUAAAAUUGCCAUUGAUACUGGUUUUCUUGAGUACAGUUGAGGUAGGCGGAAUGUGGUGUGUAGCGGUGAAAUGCAUAGAUAUACCACAGAACACCGAUUGCGAAGGCAGCUUACUAAGUUGUAACUGACGCUGAAGC
Molecule: ribosomal RNA, 400 nt
Filed under: uncultured bacterium
Lineage: Bacteria
Description: bacterial SSU rRNA
Rfam family: Bacterial small subunit ribosomal RNA
Source: RNAcentral